UACGUAGGGUGCAAGCGUUGUCCGGAAUCACUGGGCGUAAAGAGUUUGUAGGCGGCCUUAUAAGUCAGAUGUGAAAGGCAUUGGCUCAACCAAUGUAAGCAUUUGAAACUGUAGGGCUUGAGUGUUGGAGAGGAGAGUGGAAUUCCUAGUGUAGCGGUGAAAUGCGUAGAUAUUAGGAGGAACACCAGUGGCGAAGGCGACUCUCUGGACAAUUACUGACGCUGAGAAACGAAAGCGUGGGGAGCGAACAGGAUUAGAUACCCUGGUAGUCCACGCCGUAAACGAUGAGUACUAGGUGUUGGGGUCGACAGGCUUUAGUGCCGCAGCUAACGCAUUAAGUACUCCGCCUGGGGAGUACGGUCGCAAGACUGAA
This 373-nucleotide ribosomal RNA is filed under the name uncultured bacterium. RNAcentral's name for it is "bacterial SSU rRNA". It matches the Rfam family "Bacterial small subunit ribosomal RNA", at positions 524 to 898 of the family's 1533-position model. The record is from RNAcentral.